AAAGGGUACACUCGCCAGCAGUUUUGCCACGAGAGUACACCAAACAAAGAGACAGGGUCAUUUGUAACCUGACGCAUCCACCCUACUGCUGUGUCUGGUUUCCAUUGGCUGGAACGGGACCUCACAUUCUGUAUUUGUCCUGAAUGGCGAGCAACUUAAAACUUUUUAAAAGAAGCAAAGGCAGAGGAGAACAAAGGAAGGAGAAAGUAACUUGUGGAAUGGUGAGAAAGGCAUGAGGUGAAUUCUCAGCCGUGACAAGGCUAAAGGCCAGCAGGAACAGGCUCUAGCGAAAUGGGUGCUGUGUCCCCUUCCUGUAUGUGGCAGAAAGUUGCAAAGGGAGUUUGGGCUGGGGAAGGGUCCUGUACACUCUCAACAGGAGGUGCAGAAUGAGCCCUGCAUUGAAUGUGUAAGCAUCCAAAGCCGUCACUGAGGUGAGAAGAGCCUUCAUUGGCAGCCUCAAAAAGAAAGGUGUGCUUGGAUGUAUGCACUGGACAUGCC
RNAcentral lists this non-coding RNA (498 nucleotides) under Pongo abelii (Sumatran orangutan). Lineage: Eukaryota; Metazoa; Chordata; Mammalia; Primates; Hominidae. The record is from RNAcentral.